RNAcentral lists this ribosomal RNA (357 nucleotides) under Halococcus hamelinensis. RNAcentral's name for it is "bacterial SSU rRNA". It matches the Rfam family "Archaeal small subunit ribosomal RNA", at positions 111 to 469 of the family's 1478-position model. The record is from RNAcentral. Lineage: Archaea; Methanobacteriati; Methanobacteriota; Halobacteria; Halobacteriales; Halococcaceae.
AAUCGCCUGAUGACAACCCUCGGGAACUGAGGUCAAUCUCGGAUACUGCUUUCACGUUGGAACAACGGAAAGCUGGAAACGGUCCGCCGCCGGAGGACGUGACUGCGGCUGAUUAGGUAGACGGUGGGGUAACGGCCCACCGUGCCAAUAAUCAGUACGGGUUGUGAGAGCAAGAGCCCGGAGACGGAAUCUGAGACAAGAUUCCGGGCCCUACGGGGCGCAGCAGCCGCGAAACCUUUACACUGCACGACAGUGCGAUAAGGGGAUCCCGAGUGCGAGGGCAUACAGUCCUCGCUUUUCGUGACCGUAAGGUGGUCACAGAAUAAGGGCUGGGCAAGACCGGUGCCAUCCGCCGCG